Molecule: ribosomal RNA, 253 nt
Filed under: uncultured bacterium
Lineage: Bacteria
Description: partial 16S ribosomal RNA
Rfam family: Bacterial small subunit ribosomal RNA
Source: RNAcentral
UACAGAGGGCUCAACCGUUGUUCGGAUUCAUUGGGCGUAAAGGGUGCGUAGGCGGUCGCGUAAGUCAGGUGUGAAAUCCCGGGGCUCAACCCCGGAACUGCAUUCGAUACUGCCGUGCUUGAGGACUGGAGAGGAGACUGGAAUUUACGGUGUAGCGGUGAAAUGCGUAGAUAUCGUAAGGAAGACCAGUGGCGAAGGCGGGUCUCUGGACAGUUCCUGACGCUGAGGCACGAAGGUCAGGGGAGCAAACGGG